Molecule: non-coding RNA, 82 nt
Organism: Entophlyctis luteolus
Lineage: Eukaryota; Fungi; Chytridiomycota; Chytridiomycetes; Chytridiales; Chytriomycetaceae
Source: the annotation of a GenBank genome assembly
GACAACGUGGCCGAGCGGUUAAGGCGGCAGACUAGAAAUCUGCUUCCCUAUGGGAGCGUAGGUUCAAAUCCUGCCGUUGUCG